RNAcentral lists this ribosomal RNA (468 nucleotides) under uncultured bacterium. Its description in RNAcentral is "partial 16S ribosomal RNA". It matches the Rfam family "Bacterial small subunit ribosomal RNA", at positions 28 to 507 of the family's 1533-position model. The record is from RNAcentral.
GACGAACGCUGGCGGCGUGCUUAACACAUGCAAGUCGAACGGAAAGGCCCUGCUUUUGUGGGGUGCUCGAGUGGCGAACGGGUGAGUAACACGUGAGUAACCUGCCCUUGACUUUGGGGUAACUUCAGGAAACUGGGGCUAAUACCGGAUAGGAGCUCCUGCUGCAUGGUGGGGGUUGGAAAGAUUCGGCGGUUGGGGAUGGACUGGCGGCUUAUCAGCUUGUUGGUGGGGUAGUGGCUUACCAAGGCUUUGACGGGUAGCCGGCCUGAGAGGGUGACCGGCCACAUUGGGACUGAGAGACGGCGCAGACGCCUACGGGAGGCAACAGGGGGGAGUAUUGCACAAUGGGCGCACGCCUGAUGCGGCGACGCCGCGUGCGGGAUGACGGCCUUCGGGUUGUAAACCGCUUUCGCCUGUGACGAAGCGUGAGUGACGGUAAUGGGUAAAGAAGCACCGGCUAACUACGUG